GUGCUCACCUCGGCAGCACAUAUACCCAAACCAGAAUGAUACAUCGUCCCCCUGCAAGGAUGAUACCCAAACUUGUGAAGCAUUCUGUAUUUUU
This 94-nucleotide small nuclear RNA is filed under the name Mustela putorius furo (domestic ferret). Lineage: Eukaryota; Metazoa; Chordata; Mammalia; Carnivora; Mustelidae. The record is from RNAcentral.